CGGAGCUUGCUCCACCGGAAAAAGAAGAGUGGCGAACGGGUGAGUAACACGUGGGUAACCUGCCCAUCAGAAGGGGAUAACACUUGGAAACAGGUGCUAAUACCGUAUAACAAUCGAAACCGCAUGGUUUUGAUUUGAAAGGCGCUUUCGGGUGUCGCUGAUGGAUGGACCCGCGGUGCAUUAGCUAGUUGGUGAGGUAACGGCUCACCAAGGCCACGAUGCAUAGCCGACCUGAGAGGGUGAUCGGCCACAUUGGGACUGAGACACGGCCCAAACUCCUACGGGAGGCAGCAGUAGGGAAUCUUCGGCAAUGGACGAAAGUCUGACCGAGCAACGCCGCGUGAGUGAAGAAGGUUUUCGGAUCGUAAAACUCUGUUGUUAGAGAAGAACAAGGAUGAGAGUAACUGUUCAUCCCUUGACGGUAUCUAACCAGAAAGCCACGGCUAACUACGUGCCAGCAGCCGCGGUAAUACGUAGGUGGCAAGCGUUGUCCGGAUUUAUUGGGCGUAAAGCGAGCGCAGGCGGUUUCUUAAGUCUGAUGUGAAAGCCCCCGGCUCAACCGGGGAGGGUCAUUGGAAACUGGGAGACUUGAGUGCAGAAGAGGAGAGUGGAAUUCCAUGUGUAGCGGUGAAAUGCGUAGAUAUAUGGAGGAACACCAGUGGCGAAGGCGGCUCUCUGGUCUGUAACUGACGCUGAGGCUCGAAAGCGUGGGGAGCAAACAGGAUUAGAUACCCUGGUAGUCCACGCCGUAAACGAUGAGUGCUAAGUGUUGGAGGGUUUCCGCCCUUCAGUGCUGCAGCUAACGCAUUAAGCACUCCGCCUGGGGAGUACGACCGCAAGGUUGAAACUCAAAGGAAUUGACGGGGGCCCGCACAAGCGGUGGAGCAUGUGGUUUAAUUCGAAGCAACGCGAAGAACCUUACCAGGUCUUGACAUCCUUUGACCACUCUAGAGAUAGAGCUUCCCCUUCGGGGGCAAAGUGACAGGUGGUGCAUGGUUGUCGUCAGCUCGUGUCGUGAGAUGUUGGGUUAAGUCCCGCAACGAGCGCAACCCUUAUUGUUAGUUGCCAUCAUUUAGUUGGGCACUCUAGCAAGACUGCCGGUGACAAACCGGAGGAAGGUGGGGAUGACGUCAAAUCAUCAUGCCCCUUAUGACCUGGGCUACACACGUGCUACAAUGGGAAGUACAACGAGUCGCGAAGUCGCGAGGCUAAGCUAAUCUCUUAAAGCUUCUCUCAGUUCGGAUUGUAGGCUGCAACUCGCCUACAUGAAGCCGGAAUCGCUAGUAAUCGCGGAUCAGCACGCCGCGGUGAAUACGUUCCCGGGCCUUGUACACACCGCCCGUCACACCACGAGAGUUUUAACACCCGAAGUCGGUGAGGUAACCUUUGAGCCACCGCU
Molecule: ribosomal RNA, 1399 nt
Filed under: Enterococcus durans
Lineage: Bacteria; Bacillati; Bacillota; Bacilli; Lactobacillales; Enterococcaceae
Description: bacterial SSU rRNA
Rfam family: Bacterial small subunit ribosomal RNA
Source: RNAcentral